UGUCUUUGGCUGGUCAGACCCAACCAAGUGCCCUAAAGUGCAACAUUCCCUGGGUCCGCUCUACCAAGUACCACACAAGGGAUUGGCAUGUUUUGGUACCUUCACUUAUGAUUAACAUUGACCCAUUUUACUUUAUAUUGCAGUGGCCUAGGAAAGUGCCUACAGUCAGCGACUGGACCUCAUCUUAGAGAGAAGUAAAAAAUUAAAACUCAUUUAAUUCAGGCCCUUGCAGUUGUCAGUCAGAAGUUUUGCUUGCAGCUGAGUGAUGUUCAGAUGCCAUAGGCAAUAUGGCCAACCUAUGCAGUUUCACAUGGUUCUGGCUUUGACUCUCAUUGCUGUUUCAUCCUAGGUUUGCGAUGCUGCUCCAUUGCCAGGGUGCACGUAGCUCCACAGGAUCAAUGGCGAGGAGAGCCUGUUUCACAGACUGGCUUCUGGCAGGUGUUUCACAUGUGGUCAGCUCAGACCAUUACUUGGCACUGAAUGUGACUCAGAGUGUGUCCCUCGCUGCACUGGGCAGUGCAUAGGCAUGUGCAUCUGGGCAAAACAGGUGCAAACCACUGCCAUUCCUAUGUGGAAAUGACCCUGCUCAAGCACCGGGGGCUGUGUCACUUGAGGUGUUCUACCUCCAUGAAGAAUCGUGCCUUGGGCUUCUUUUCAGUCACCUGCUUGGGUGAAGGGGAGUUUGUUUUAAUGUGUAAGGUUGAAAACUUCUGUGGUUUAGGAGUUGCUUCACAUGCAGCUCAGCUGUCACAGCUCAGUAGCAGCUGCCUCCAGGGGAAGGGGAGAGUGGAAAGUGAAGCACAGACACCCUACAGCUGUAGGACUCUACUUGUGUGGCUUUGCUUUUUCCUGCUUUUGUAGAACAGUGCAAGAUUUAUGUAUUUCAGUAUCUGCCGUGUGCACAUAUUACUGAUUUGUUAAAAGCCUGCUGGUUACUCCCCUUCAUCUCUUGCACCCAACUACUCUUUAUCCUAAUUUGGUGUUUGGAAAAAUCUUGUCACCCCAAUUACAUUAGCAGAAGGUGAAGGUAAACAAGAAGGAAACAAGAACAACAGCAUAUAUCCCAUGCUGGUAGAUUACUUGUUCUUUUCCUGUGGAACAACUGUGGAUGUUUUUCUUAUUUAAAAAAAAAAAAAAAGAAAGAAAGAAAAAAACCCAACCAACCCCCAAACCUCUGGAUAACUACCAGCUUCAGCUACACCAGCCAUACCCAGCUGUAUGCACGCAGCUGAGUGAUGCCCUUCCAGAGCAGGGCACAUUCCAGUCACUUGGCUCUUUGGGAUUAACUGUCCCUUUCAUCAAGUUGGCUUGGACUACUGUUGCUGUUGAUCAUGCAAUGCAAAUCUUCCUGAGAAAGACUCUCAGGCUAUUGAUUACAAAAAAAAGCCAUUUUGACAACCAUAACUAAAAUACAAACCCUCAGUGUUGUGGGCAGUUGUUGCCAUAGAUAGGAACUGUGUUAUUGAUCACAGCCAGAUAUGAAAAUAUGCACCCUUUGCACCACAUGACGUUGAAUAUCUAGUGUAGCAAGAUGAAAGUUACCACUUAUGCCAACUGGGGGAAAGAGCUCUGCCAGAAUGUGGGAGGACAUAAUUUAUCUAACAUCCUACCUAACACUAAAGGCUGAGAACAACAAGCAGGAGGAGAAUUACGACACUUCUGCUUGUGAAACAUCAUGCCUGAGAAGCAGAAGGGUGUGGAUUUAUCCCCACCUCACUUUAGGUGUCUAAAUGAAGCAUCUAAGUCAGGAGCACAGUUGUGCCAGGCACUUCUUCAGAAAGAGAAGUGGUUAAGAUUUUAGGAGGGAUAAAUUGCUUUCUAGAGGCACCUCCCUCUCUCUCAACCACAGAACACCACACAGAGCUACACUCCUCACCUCCUCACUGGCUCCAGUGAGGGAACUGGGUGGCAGAAACACUGCCUGAAGGGAAGAUACUGGUAGUUGUUUGGGACUGCUCUUAAGGAAGGGAAGGGGGAAAUUCUAAGUGAUUGGCUCAGGGUUUCUGUAUGAGGGGACAGCCACAGCCAGCAGCAGUCAGCAUGUACAGCAGAUCCUGUUAUCUCCUGCGCAGAGCUGUGCUUCAGAAGAAGGUUGUGCUGGUAUAGUCCCCAUGAGGAGCCUGUGUGCACCUUCCUCACUACUGCACUGGCACAUGUGUUUUGGACAGACCUAGUGCUUGCUCAGACAUUGGAUGGCAGUGAACACAUGGAUGCUUGAGGAUUUGCACAUUGCAACGGCAGAACUCACAAG
This is a long non-coding RNA of Neopelma chrysocephalum (saffron-crested tyrant-manakin), 2251 nucleotides long. RefSeq lists it as uncharacterized. The record is from RefSeq and is a predicted model, not a curated record. The transcript is spliced from 3 exons. NCBI's taxonomy places the organism in Eukaryota, Metazoa, Chordata, Aves, Passeriformes, Pipridae.